Corapipo altera (White-ruffed manakin) is the source of this 794-nucleotide long non-coding RNA. RefSeq lists it as uncharacterized. Lineage: Eukaryota; Metazoa; Chordata; Aves; Passeriformes; Pipridae. The record is from RefSeq and is a predicted model, not a curated record. The transcript is spliced from 2 exons.
GUCAUUUAUUCCCAGCAUAGUAAUAGAAACAACUCAAGCUGGGUACCUCCAAGGAGGACCCCUAAUAAAGGUACACCCUGGACUUUUAUACCCUCACAGUGUCCCUACAUGUGAGUCUUGCUCUUCUUCAUGUCCCUGUGUUCAUCCACCUUCCUGUGUCACCAGUCUUCAUGUCUUUUAUUAUCCAAAAGAUAAGAAGAGUUGAAUAAGAAGCUGGGCACAAAGGAACCGUCAUCAGGAUACAAUUUGUAAAGCAGAAGCAUAACUAUAGUAGCACAAUUAUGAUUCACUUGACCAAGUAUCCUCUCCAGUCAUUGCCUGGAUGGGGGAAGUUGCACUGCUUUCUUUUUUUGGAGACUGUAUUACAGCCUCCUUGUUUAAGAGUGUCAGUUGCCUGCUCUGGUUCUGCUAGUUUCAUGUCAUCCAUGGUGACAUUGUAUAUACCCACAUCUUUUUACAGAACUGUCUUUUCUUUUUUAAGCAUAUUAAAAAUAGCAAAUACUAAGUGGCAAAAUCCUAGAAAAUGGAAAAAUGAAAUCUCAGAUGAGAAACAGUGAAUUCUGCGGUGUUUCUAUUUUGCUCCUAAUGCACACCCCGUAGCCCCCCAGCCCUCAAAACCAACAACUUCAAAUUUAACUUGAUGCUCUACAUUCUAUUACAUUCAUCUCUCUUCCUGAGAGUUCUGGUCUAUAUUGCCACAAAUUCUGCCUGUUCUCUUCUUCUAAACUUCCACUGGAGUGUUUAUUUCUUAAAGUGUAUUACUGAAUAAAUGCUUUACACUAAUGUUACAAAAA